CGACUGCUAUCAGAAUAGGACUAAGCCAUGCGAGUCAACGUAGCAAUACGUGGCAUACGGCUCAGUAACACGUAGUCAACAUGCCCAGGGGACGUGGAUAACCUCGGGAAACUGAGGAUAAACCGCGAUAGGUCAUAAUAUCUGGAAUGAUUUCUGGCUGAAAUCUAUAUGGCCCCUGGAUUGGACUGCGGCCGAUCAGGCUGUUGGUGAGGUAAUGGCCCACCAAACCUAAAACCGGUACGGGCUCUGAGAGGAGGAGCCCGGAGAUGGGCACUGAGACAAGGGCCCAGGCCCUAUGGGGCGCAGCAGGCGCGAAAACUCUGCAAUAAGCGAAAGCUUGACAGGGUUAUUCUGAGUGAUUUCCGCUAAGGAAAUCUUUUGGCACCUCUAAAAAUGGUGCAGAAUAAGGGGUGGGCAAGCCUGGUGUCAGCCGCCGCGGUAAUACCAGCACCCCGAGUGGUCGGGACGAUUAUUGGGCCUAAAGCAUCCGUAGCCGGUUCUACAAGUCUUCCGUUAAAUCCACCUGCUUAACAGAUGGGCUGCGGAGGAUACUAUGGAGCUAGGAGGCGGGAGAGGCAAGCGGUACUUAGUGGGUAGGGGUAAAAUCCGUUGAUCCAUUGAAGACCACCAGUGGCGAAAGCGGCUUGCCAGAACGCACUCGACGGUGAGGGAUGAAAGCUGGGGGAGCAAACCGGAUUAGAUACCCGGGUAGUCCCAGCUGUAAACGAUGCAGACUCG
RNAcentral lists this ribosomal RNA (738 nucleotides) under uncultured archaeon. Its description in RNAcentral is "bacterial SSU rRNA". It matches the Rfam family "Archaeal small subunit ribosomal RNA", at positions 24 to 770 of the family's 1478-position model. The record is from RNAcentral.